ACUAUAGAUUAUAGGUAAAGACUAGAUUAUAGGUAAAGAUUAUAGAUUAUAGGUAAAGACUAGAUUAUAGGUAAAGAUUAUAGAUUAUAGGUAAAGACCAGAUUAUAGGUAAAGAUUAUAGAUUAUAGGUAAAGACUAGAUUAUAGAUUAUAGGUAAAGAUUAUAGAUUAUAGGUAAAGACUAGAUUAUAGGUAAAGAUUAUAGAUUAUAGGUAAAGACUAGAUUAUAGGUAAAGAUUAUAGAUUAUAGGUAAAGACUAUAGAUUAUAUGUAAAGAUUAUAGAUUAUAGGUAAAGAUUAUAGAUUAUAGGUAAAGACUAGAUUAUAGAUUAUAGGUAAAGAUUAUAGAUUAUAGGUAAAGAUUAUAGAUUAUAUGUUAAUAUUAUAGAUUAUGGUAAAGAUUACAGAUUAUAGAUAAAGACUAUAGAUUAUAUGUAAAGACUAGAUUAUUGAUAAAGACUAUAGAUUAUAGAUUAUAUGUAAAGAUUAUAGAUUUUAGGUAAACAUUAAGUCAGAGUCAGUCGGGUUUGAUGCACUUUCAUUGAACCUGUUGUGAAAGUUCUGAGUUUACAGAAUCAGGAAGUGAAUGAAAUCAGGGAGGAUUAUUUCUGAUCAACCAAAAGCAGAAGUGAUCAACAAAGAGUGUCGGUCUGAGUUUCCGCUCUGCCCGUAAAGCUUUGUGGUCAGUUUCAGAAUGAGUGGUUAUGUUCUUAUUCAGCUGACUGCCAGCUCCUCUUCCUCAGAAAGACCUGACUCACACUCAUUACCCAACAUGCAUCAUGUGUAACAUCCUGUGACAGUCUCCGUUCAGCUGAGGUCAGCGAUCAAUAACAACCUGUUAAUAACUAAUCAAUACAUAAAGUGACUCCACCGUCAGUGUGGAGAGAUUAAUGUCAGUUCAGUUUUAUAAUAAAGACAUUAUUAUUAUUAUUAUUAUUAUUAUUAGUUUGAAUAGUUAAUGUUUAUUAAC
This is a long non-coding RNA of Dicentrarchus labrax (European seabass), 969 nucleotides long. RefSeq lists it as uncharacterized. The record is from RefSeq and is a predicted model, not a curated record. Lineage: Eukaryota; Metazoa; Chordata; Actinopteri; Moronidae. The transcript is spliced from 6 exons.